CACGUAGGCGGUCUGUUAAGUCGGAUGUGAAAGCCCCGGGCUCAACCCGGGAAGUGCAUACGAAACUGGCGGACUUGAAUAUGGAAGAGGGUCGCGGAAUUCCCGGUGUAGAGGUGAAAUUCGUAGAUAUCGGGAGGAACACCAGUGGCGAAGGCGGCGACCUGGGCCAAUAUUGACGCUGAGGUGCGAAAGCGUGGGGAGCAAACA
Molecule: ribosomal RNA, 207 nt
Filed under: uncultured bacterium
Lineage: Bacteria
Description: partial 16S ribosomal RNA
Rfam family: Bacterial small subunit ribosomal RNA
Source: RNAcentral